AGUGAACGCUGGCGGUAGGCCUAACACAUGCAAGUCGAACGGCAGCACAGUAAGAGCUUGCUCUUACGGGUGGCGAGUGGCGGACGGGUGAGGAAUACAUCGGAAUCUACUUUUUCGUGGGGGAUAACGUAGGGAAACUUACGCUAAUACCGCAUACGACCUACGGGUGAAAGCAGGGGAUCUUCGGACCUUGCGCGAUUGAAUGAGCCGAUGUCGGAUUAGCUAGUUGGGGGGGUAAAGGCCCACCAAGGCGACGAUCCGUAGCUGGUCUGGGAGGAUGGAGGCCCCACUUGGAAUGGGAAACGGGCCAGAACCCUACGGGAGGCAGCAGGUGGGGAAAUUGGGCAAUGGGCGGAAGGCUGAUGCAGCCACGCCGCGGGGGGGAAAGAGGGCUUUGGGUUUGUAAACCCUUUUUUUGGGGAAAAAAAAGACGGAGGUUAACACCCCGGUGUUUUGCGGGAACCAAAAAAAAAAGCACCGGCUAAUUGGUG
RNAcentral lists this ribosomal RNA (491 nucleotides) under uncultured bacterium. RNAcentral's name for it is "partial 16S ribosomal RNA". It matches the Rfam family "Bacterial small subunit ribosomal RNA", at positions 30 to 507 of the family's 1533-position model. The record is from RNAcentral.